GAUGAAGAACGUAGCGAAAUGCGAUAAGUAGUGUGAAUUGCAGAAUUCAGUGAAUCAUCGAAUCUUUGAACGCACAUUGCGCCCCUUGGUAUUCCAUGGGGCAUGCCUGUUCGAGCGUCAUUUGUACCUUCAAGCUUUGCUUGGUGUUGGGUGUUUGUCUCGCCUUUGCGUGUAGACUCGCCUUAAAAUAAUUGGCCGCCGGCGUAUUGAUUUCGGAGCGCAGUACAUCUCGCGCUUUGCACUCAUAACGACAGCGUCCAAAAGUACAUUUUACACUCUUGACCUCGGAUCAGGUAGGGAUACCCGCUGAACUUAAGCAUAUCAAUAAGCGGAGGA
Molecule: unclassified non-coding RNA, 336 nt
Filed under: soil metagenome
Description: partial contains 5.8S ribosomal RNA, internal transcribed spacer 2, and large subunit ribosomal RNA
Rfam family: 5.8S ribosomal RNA (bases 1-120)
Source: RNAcentral